This 231-nucleotide long non-coding RNA is filed under the name Ananas comosus (pineapple). Its description in RNAcentral is "long non-coding RNA (ACOM_LNC005084)". Lineage: Eukaryota; Viridiplantae; Streptophyta; Magnoliopsida; Poales; Bromeliaceae. The record is from RNAcentral.
CAUUAAACAGAUAAUUUGACUUAUGCCAGGGUUAGUGGGUGAUGAUAGUUUUUGUGAUAGUGUAAGAUUGCAUUAUGCCACGAUACAGGGUGGCGAUAUUGGAUAGCAUUUGAUUGCAGCAGAGAUCACCUCACCGCUAUUUUUAUGCUCUGGUUGAUCAUUCGUAUUUGAUUAUAACCUAUACGAGUCAUAUUGAGCUUGAUAGAGAUAUUAUUAUACUCAAGUGGGUCA